CCAUUCUAAUGCAAGAUAUAAAAUUGGAAUGAUACAGAGAAAAUUCACAAGAUGGCCCUGUGCAAGGAUGACAUACCAUCAUACAAAGGGUAAUUGUUUUCU
Molecule: small nuclear RNA, 102 nt
Filed under: Solanum lycopersicum (tomato)
Lineage: Eukaryota; Viridiplantae; Streptophyta; Magnoliopsida; Solanales; Solanaceae
Source: RNAcentral